Molecule: long non-coding RNA, 383 nt
Filed under: Zostera marina
Lineage: Eukaryota; Viridiplantae; Streptophyta; Magnoliopsida; Alismatales; Zosteraceae
Description: long non-coding RNA (ZMAR_LNC004664)
Source: RNAcentral
UCGAUCCUCCUCCGAUAGUCGCAGCAUUGGUAGAAGAAGCAGGGAAGGAAGGAAUGAAGGAAGAAGGUUAAGGAGCAGAGCAGGUGGUAAGAAAGGUAAUAAAGAGAAAAUGGGAGGGAGGGAGGGAUGGGAUUACCAGAAACGGUAGUGGGGUAUGUAGUGGUAGUUGAAACAUGCAUAAAGGUAAAAACAAACUCGAGGAAAAGACAGAAUGGAAAUCGGAAAUAUUGAAACAAACAGACUACUCUGAUUCUUCUUUUUUGUCUGUGUUUUUCGCUAUUUUCCGUAUUUAGUGAGAUGUUUUAAUAAUAUAUAGUUUAAUCUUACCGUCAUUUUUCAUAAAUCUUAAAAAAUGGACGGAUAUUUUUUAAAUUGAUUUCUUU